AACGAACGCUGGCGGCAGGCUUAACACAUGCAAGUCGAACGAGAUCUUCGGAUCUAGUGGCAGACGGGUGAGGAACACGUGGGAACAUCCCUUUCAGUUCGGAAUAACGUUGGGAAACUAACGCUAAUACCGGAUACGUCCUUCGGGAGAAAGAUUUAUCGCUGAAAGAUUGGCCCGCGUCUGAUUAGCUAGUUGGUGAGGUAAUGGCUCACCAAGGCUACGAUCAGUAGCUGAUCUGAGAGGAUGAUCAGCAACAUUGGGACUGAUACACGGCCCUAACUCCUACGGUAGGCAGCAGUUGGGAAUAUUGGACAAUGGGCGCAAGCCUGAUCCAGCCAUGCCGCGUGAGUGAUGACGGCCUUCGGGUUGUAAAGCUCUUUUGUCCGGGAAGAUAAUGACUGUACCGGAAGAAUAAGCCCCGGCAAACUUCGUGCCAGCCGCCGCGGUAA
Molecule: ribosomal RNA, 449 nt
Filed under: uncultured bacterium
Lineage: Bacteria
Description: partial 16S ribosomal RNA
Rfam family: Bacterial small subunit ribosomal RNA
Source: RNAcentral